UACAGAGGUCUCAAGCGUUGUUCGGAUUCAUUGGGCGUAAAGGGUGCGUAGGUGGCGCUGUAAGUCGGGUGUGAAAUUUCGGAGCUUAACUCCGAAACUGCAUUCGAUACUGCGGUGCUUGAGGACUGGAGAGGAGACUGGAAUUCAUGGUGUAGCAGUGAAAUGCGUAGAUAUCGUGAGGAAGACCAGUGGCGAAGGCGGGUCUCUGGACAGUUCCUGACGCUGAGGCGCGAAGGCCAGGGGAGCAAACGGG
This 253-nucleotide ribosomal RNA is filed under the name uncultured bacterium. RNAcentral's name for it is "partial 16S ribosomal RNA". It matches the Rfam family "Bacterial small subunit ribosomal RNA", at positions 524 to 776 of the family's 1533-position model. The record is from RNAcentral.